RNAcentral lists this ribosomal RNA (429 nucleotides) under Pseudomonadota bacterium. RNAcentral describes it as "Proteobacteria bacterium partial 16S ribosomal RNA". It matches the Rfam family "Bacterial small subunit ribosomal RNA", at positions 355 to 776 of the family's 1533-position model. Lineage: Bacteria; Pseudomonadati; Pseudomonadota. The record is from RNAcentral.
UGGGGAAUAUUGGACAAUGGGCGAAAGCCUGAUCCAGCCAUGCCGCGUGUGUGAAGAAGGUCUUCGGAUUGUAAAGCACUUUAAGUUGGGAGGAAGGGCAGUAAGCGAAUACCUUGCUGUUUUGACGUUACCGACAGAAUAAGCACCGGCUAACUCUGUGCCAGCAGCCGCGGUAAUACAGAGGGUGCAAGCGUUAAUCGGAAUUACUGGGCGUAAAGCGCGCGUAGGUGGUUCGUUAAGUUGAAGGUGAAAGCCCCGGGCUCAACCCGGGAACUGCAUCCAAAACUGGCGAGCUAGAGUAGGGCAGAGGGUGGUGGAAUUUCCUGUGUAGCGGUGAAAUGCGUAGAUAUAGGAAGGAACACCAGUGGCGAAGGCGACCACCUGGGCUCAUACUGACACUGAGGUGCGAAAGCGUGGGGAGCAAACAGG